Long non-coding RNA from Homo sapiens (human), 568 nucleotides. Ensembl annotates it as MIR3945 host gene. Lineage: Eukaryota; Metazoa; Chordata; Mammalia; Primates; Hominidae. The record is from Ensembl.
ACUCAGGAUUCAUGUCUGCACUUCAUUCACUGCGUAGGAAGGUGAGGGUGGUUAAGGAGGUGCCACUCUGGGAGCAGAAGGCAGUCACUGGAGCAGAUCAGUGGAGCUACGUUACGGAGAUCCGGGAUGGUCCGUGAGGAUGCUGGGCCUCACCUGCCUCUUCCUCCUGCUUGCCACCUCUCAGUCACAAGACGGCUGCUGCGACUCAGGCUCAUGUCCCAAUUCAAGGCAGCAAGAAGGCCAUGGAGCGGCACCUGCCAGCUCCUGUCUCCCCAUCCCCUAGAAUCGUUGACAAAAUGAGUGACACUGCCCUGGGAUCUGGGUCUCUGGUUGAGGCCUUGGAGCUACUGCCUCUGCCUGUGAACUCACCCAUCAUCGCUAACAGGUUGCUCCACAGCCUACAGAUCUCAAUAUUUCGCUAGCACAAAACCCAAGCGGCCAGGCACGGUGGCUCACGCCUGUAAUCCCAGCACUUUGGGAGGCCGAGGCGGGUGGAUCACUUGAGGUCAGGAGUUCGAGACCAGCCUGACCAACAUGGAGAAACCCCGUCUCUACUAAAAAUACAAAA